Molecule: ribosomal RNA, 252 nt
Filed under: Romboutsia timonensis
Lineage: Bacteria; Bacillati; Bacillota; Clostridia; Peptostreptococcales; Peptostreptococcaceae
Description: partial 16S ribosomal RNA
Rfam family: Bacterial small subunit ribosomal RNA
Source: RNAcentral
UACGUAGGGGGCUAGCGUUAUCCGGAAUUACUGGGCGUAAAGGGUGCGUAGGUGGUUUCUUAAGUCAGAGGUGAAAGGCUACGGCUCAACCGUAGUAAGCCUUUGAAACUGGGAAACUUGAGUGCAGGAGAGGAGAGUGGAAUUCCUAGUGUAGCGGUGAAAUGCGUAGAUAUUAGGAGGAACACCAGUUGCGAAGGCGGCUCUCUGGAAUGUAACUGACACUGAGGCACGAAAGCGUGGGGAGCAAACAGG